This 564-nucleotide ribosomal RNA is filed under the name Streptomyces sp. 334F03. RNAcentral's name for it is "bacterial SSU rRNA". It matches the Rfam family "Bacterial small subunit ribosomal RNA", at positions 93 to 671 of the family's 1533-position model. The record is from RNAcentral. Lineage: Bacteria; Bacillati; Actinomycetota; Actinomycetes; Kitasatosporales; Streptomycetaceae.
UAGUGGCGAACGGGUGAGUAACACGUGGGCAAUCUGCCCUUCACUCUGGGACAAGCCCUGGAAACGGGGUCUAAUACCGGAUAACACCUGCCCGGGCAUCUGGGUGGGUUAAAAGCUCCGGCGGUGAAGGAUGAGCCCGCGGCCUAUCAGCUUGUUGGUGAGGUAGUGGCUCACCAAGGCGACGACGGGUAGCCGGCCUGAGAGGGCGACCGGCCACACUGGGACUGAGACACGGCCCAGACUCCUACGGGAGGCAGCAGUGGGGAAUAUUGCACAAUGGGCGAAAGCCUGAUGCAGCGACGCCGCGUGAGGGAUGACGGCCUUCGGGUUGUAAACCUCUUUCAGCAGGGAAGAAGCGAAAGUGACGGUACCUGCAGAAGAAGCGCCGGCUAACUACGUGCCAGCAGCCGCGNUAAUACGUAGGGCGCAAGCGUUGUCCGGAAUUAUUGGGCGUAAAGAGCUCGUAGGCGGCUUGUCACGUCGGGUGUGAAAGCCCGGGGCUUAACCCCGGGUCUGCAUUCGAUACGGNCUAGCUAGAGUGUGGNAGGGGAGAUCGGAAUUCCU